ACAGAACUAACGCAGCAGAGGCUGAGAGACUGAAAACAGAGUAGUUCUGCAACAAGCAGCUUACAAUGGUGUACCAAAUACAUCAGAUACGGUUGUUGCGGGGCGGCCUGAGGGAGGUGGUCAUUCUGGAAGUGGCCCUGCUCAUAUGACCUCUACAUGGAGCAGACCUCAGCUAACAAGCAGUCGCUGGCAGUCCUGCUGCAUGGGGAAGAAUGCACACAACGAUCUUUGGAAUGUUAGAAUCCUAUUGCAUUGUAAAUGUGAUUUGCG
This is a long non-coding RNA of Esox lucius (northern pike), 270 nucleotides long. RefSeq lists it as uncharacterized. Lineage: Eukaryota; Metazoa; Chordata; Actinopteri; Esociformes; Esocidae. The record is from RefSeq and is a predicted model, not a curated record. The transcript has 3 exons.